CAGCAGCCGCGGUAAUACGAAGGGGGCUAGCGUUGCUCGGAAUCACUGGGCGUAAAGGGUGCGUAGGCGGAUAUUUAAGUCAGGGGUGAAAUCCCAGAGCUCAACUCUGGAACUGCCUUUGAUACUGGGUAUCUUGAGUACGGAAGAGGUGAGUGGAAUUCCGAGUGUAGAGGUGAAAUUCGUAGAUAUUCGGAGGAACACCAGUGGCGAAGGCGGCUCACUGGUCCAUUACUGACGCUGAGGUGUGAAAGCGUGGGGAGCAAACAGGAUUAGAUACCCCUGUAGUCCCUGUCUCUUAUAC
RNAcentral lists this ribosomal RNA (301 nucleotides) under uncultured bacterium. RNAcentral describes it as "partial 16S ribosomal RNA". It matches the Rfam family "Bacterial small subunit ribosomal RNA", at positions 509 to 807 of the family's 1533-position model. The record is from RNAcentral.